GUCCGGUCACUUGUGGGUGACAGCUGAGGCCAGGCUGCUGCUCCCUGCAGCCCUCUGCAGAGCAAGGUGCCGAAUCUGCAAAACCCGUACCGGCAGGUUUUCUCUGUAUAGCUUUGGAGCAUUUCUUGGAACUCACUCUGUAAACUAGGCUGGCCUUGAACUCAGAGAUCCUCCUGGCUCUCUGGAUCACCACCUCCUGGCUUGUUUACAUUCUUGAAGGAUCUUGUUGGAGAGGUCCCUGUUGUAAGAAGCUAAGGAGGACCUUGGGAUUGAAAAACAACAACAACAACAACAACAACAACAACAACAACAACAGGAAGAGAGAAUACCAGCAAGCCACAGACAGUGGGGAGCUGAUGACCAAGAGGGUGGAGUGAAUCCUUCCAUAAACAGUCUUGAUGUGAAGCCACAGUCUGACCAAUGUGUUGAUUCUAGCCUCGCGAGAUCCUGGACUGGAACCUGGGUCCCAGCUGGUGAAAAUUAUGAGCUAAUGAUUAAUGAUAUUUGAAGCUGCUAUAUUUGGGCAAUCCAGAGCCACAACAACAAAUAAGUAGCCUGGUGUGGCGGUCUAUGCCCAUCACCCCUGCGCUCAGGAGGUGAAGACAGAAGAAUGGUGUAGAGGGCAGCUUAGACUGCAGUGAGUUCAAGGGCAUCCUCACUCCGUGUCAGAAAAACAAGGGGGGGGGGGGCGAUGCAGCUCACUGGCAGAAUGUUUCCCUGGUAUGCACUCGGUCCUGGAUUCAACUCCCCACCAUCAAAAGGAAAAACAAAACAGAACCCACAAAAACAUGGCUAAGGGUAUGCCUCCAUUGGUAAAGUGUCUGCAGGAAGCUGAGUUCAGGUCCCAGCACACACUUAAAAAACUGAGGGUGAUUGUGAGUGGCUGAACCCCUAGCACCGAGGAGGCAGAGACAGGUGGAUCCAUGGAGCUUUCUGGCCAGUUCCAAGUUCACUGUCACUAAACAAACAAAAAUAAUGCAGGUGGGUUGGUGCUGGAGGAACAGCACAGGGGUUCAGAGCUGGCUCUCCCGGAGGACCCAGACACAAUUCCCUGCACCCACAUGGUGGCUCACAACCAUCUGCAACUCCAGUUCCUCCCAGGGAUUUGACACCCUGUCCUGGCCUCUUUGGGCAACAGGCAUGCACACGGUGCACAGACCUAUAUGCAGGCAAACACCCCCACACAUGAAAUAAAAACUAUUAGAUAGACAGCAAUAAAGAAAGAUACACAGUGUCAACUUUGGUUCCGCACGAAUAUAUAUUCAUGUGCACACAUACCCACACAUGUACAACACACACAUAUAUGCACAAAAACUUAUGAACCCUAAAGCGACCACUCCCCUUCAAGCUCUCCUCUUCCACAUCUUUCUCCCGUUGCUGUUUGCUCUCUUUGCUCUCAUCUCCCCUGCUAGCCUCAUCCAGAGACACUUUCUUCCCUCUGGCCUUCAUCACUGUCCAGCAUUGAGUGAGAAAGGAAACUAAACCCUCUCAGAGGCAGCUGUGUGAAACUGGUUAAGUUCACUUAGCUUCUCGGACGACGACGACGACGACGUCCACCUGUGGUUAGGUGCUUAGAGAACGGCGGUGUGCUGGAUUGAGCCAGGUUGGAGCUAGCAGCCUCUUUGGCAAUGCCAGCAACUGCCAACUACCGCAGGAGUGCCUCAAGGAACGCUAACCUUUCACCAUUAAAUUUAGCCUCCAGCCCGCACAGCUCCGUCCACUGGAAAGUGCCUGUCCCCUCUUAUUGACAGUUCCUCUGUUUUCACAGUCUUGGGAAUCAAAGAAAAGGCAGCGGGAAAGAUGGGUCCCGCCAUGCCUUGCACAGCUGUCCCUCUAGAAUUCGAGGAGACUAUAUUUGCAGUUCACAGCUGCAUUGCCUUCUUUUAGCCCCCAGCUCUCCAUGGAAAACUUUGAGCACGAGCUCACCGUGAGGGCGGAGGCGUGGCUCAGUCAGGAUCUGAGUGGAAGCGUUGUGUGUCAUAAUCUUAUAUAUAGAAACUCCAAAGAUGCCACUUAAGAGCCAUUAGAACUAACAAAUGGAUAUGGCAGAGUGGCCAGGUAUAAAACCCACCCCCCACCCCCCUCCAUCAGUGGUUUUGCUGGUAUUGCUGUAUAACAGUGAAUUAUCUGAAAUAAGAACAAGAGUGCAAACCAUUUACAGUAGGCACGAGGAAACCAAAGGCCUAGGACUGUAUCUAAUCAAAGAGGUGAAAGAUCUCGGCAGUGAAUACUAUGAAAUACUGAUUAUGGAAAAUGAAGUUAACACACACAUUCAUACACACACCUACAAACGUACAAACACACAGACUCACAUACACAUAUACACACUCACAUACAUGCACAUACAUACAGACAUCCACACACAUCCACACACAUCCACACAAAUUGAAAGACAUCUGUUUAUAAAUCGGAAGCAUCAAUAUUAUUAAAAUACAACUCAGCACUCUGCAGACACGAUAAGAUAAAUUUUUCACAGAACUAGGAGUAACACUUGUAAAUCUCUCUGGGGGAGGGUAAAGCCAGUCACACAACAUGCAACACAGUGGAAGGUGUGAGAGUCCCCUGAACUCAAAGAGAUCCGCCUGCCUCUGCCUCCGGAGUGCUCGGGAUUAAAGGUGUGCGCCACCACCGCCCGGCUGAGUCCCCUGUCUUGAGAACAUUCGACAAAGUCACAGCACUCAAGACAGGGUGGUAUAACCACAAAAAGACACAUAGACCGAUGGCACAGAACAGGACAAGGGCAUGCUCGCGUCCGCAGGCAGCUGAGGGCUUUUAUUCUUUCUUUUUUGAGACAGGCUCUCUUGUGGCUCAGGCUGAUCUUGAACUCACUAUGUAGCUGUGGCUAGCCUUCCACUCUUCCUGCCUCUGCCUCUCAAGUGGUACGUGCGUCACCGUACCUGAGCGUCAGCUGAUUUUUGGCCAAGGUGCUCAGGACACGCACUGGAGAAAGGGCAACUUUCUGCAUGUGGAUUUAUGAAUAUUCAUCAUGUUCUUUGGGGGUUGGUAACUCGGUUCACUUAAUGUGUUGCAUAAAUCGUUCUGUCUAAUUUCUGUGUUCCCUGGAUAAGCAGUGGUCCACAUCUCUCCGUCCUGCUUUUAAAUUAUUUAUUUUGGAACAAUAACUUAAUUGUGUAUGUAUGUUUGGUUAGCAUGUCAUAAUUAUACACAAUAAUGGGUUUCACUAUGGCAAUAUUACACAUGUAUGUAUUGUAUAAUGAUCAUAUUCACCUACUCUCUCAUCUCCCUCCUGAUAAUCCCCUCCCAGUUCCUAACGAGUCUCUCCUCUACCUCCAUCUCAUUUUUCUUCCCCUUUUUUUAUGACUCAGUGCGUUUCAUUAGGUUUGUUUCCAGGACAUGGGUCCGGAUCACCUCCCCCUCCAAGCAAUAGGAGCUGCCUUGAGAUCCUCAGGUGGGUGGGCCUUGGGAAUCCCUUCCCAAUAGUAGGUUUCCACUAUAUUAUCACCGGACCUUAGUGUUGUUGACUAGCCACAUUGUCUUCCUCUGCCCCUUCCCCCAGCCUCCACUUGUUGGACCCUUUCCUCCCCCCACUUCUCUGUCUCAUCACAGAGGUAUGUAGACUUAAAUCUAGGUUUUGUGUACAAAAAUGCUGGAUUUUGUGUUUUUAGACUCCCAUUACCCUCUCUAGCUCCCCUAUCCUUUCCUUUUAGACUUCUUCCUCCUCCUCCUAGGACCGCUCAACUUUCGCAUUGCGUGUGUGUGUGUGUGUGUGUGUGUGUGUGUGUGUGUGUGCGCGCGCGCGCGCGCGCGCGCGCGCAUGCAUGUAUGUUUAAAUCUAGAUUCUGCAUCUCUGUUUUGUGUGAUGGAAAAACCCCACAAAUGGACAGUAGUAUCAGGACAAAAUAUCAUGAAUGUAAUAAAUCAAUACAAUUAAUGUAAUUAAUGAAUAACAUAAAUAUAAUUAUUGAAUGAAAAAAUCUAGAUUCUGCAUAUGAGAUAAAAUACUCAAUACUUGUCUUUCUGAGUCUGGCUUUACUGCAUUUAACACGACGCUGUCCAGUCCCAUAACUUUCCUGCAAAUGGCAAGAUUUUACUCUUCUUUACUUUCCUAGUGGGUGUGUGCCACUUUUUAUUCCAUUCAUCUGACAGAGCUCUUCCCUAGCAUGCGUGGGGUUCUAGGUUCAAUAAGUAGUGCCACAAAAAAGUAGAAAGGAAGGAAAGAAAAUAGAUCGUUGAUCAUCAUUGGUGAAAAUGUAAAUUAGUAUAGACAUGAUGCAAAACAGAAGCUUGUUCCUCAAAAGAUUAAAAAUAGAAAUAUGGUAUGGUUCAGGAUUCCCUUCAGCACAUCCGGGCAUAUGGACGGUAAAACAAGUAGAAGGCAAGCUGGGUACCAAGGGCUGAGCAGAAGGGCAGGUCAGUGGAUUUCACUUUACAAUGAUGUACUGCCAUGAUCCAGCACCAGGGGGCAGGAGAAACUCGAGUCCGGAGUCCAAGGCCAGGCUGAACUGCUUGGGGAGACCUUGUUUUUAUCAAAACAAAAACAACAACCAAGUGGCUGGCUCAGUGGUUAAGAGCACUGACUGUUGCUCCAGAGGACCCAGGUUCAAUUCCCUAGCACCCACAUGGCAGCUCACAACUGUCUGUGACUCCAAGAUAUACACACACAUACACAUGCAGGCAAAACACCAAUGCACAUAAAAUAAAAAUUAAAAAAAAAAAAGGCAACAAACAAAACCCCAGAAUGAAGAAGUCCUGAUGUGCUGUCUGUGGUAGAGUGAAAACAGAUGGAAGAUAUGUACUGAGUACCUCAAAAAGCCAGAACAAAGGUUUUUUUUUUGUUUGUUUUUGACCAUAAAAAAAUAACUGUUUGCCAGGAUGUUUAACCUGAUUUAAAAAUUACAUAAAAUCACAAAAUGUACAUGUGUAUCCAAGCAGCACCUACUACACUGUUAAUGUUACUUUAUUUUGUAUCUGCUAAGGUUCAUUUGUAAAAGGAAACACUGGUUGGGUGGGGGGAGCAAUAAAUAAAUAAAUUAAAUUAAAAAGGGAACAGCAUAUAUUCCUUAAAAUCCUCCAAUGAUGUGUAAGGCCUGGGCACUAGAUUAAGACUAUCUACUUCUCUCUUUCUCUUCUUAAAUUGUAACAUAUUAGACAUUUGGAAAAUGCAAAAAUUAUGUGAAAGGACCCCCCAUUGUAUUCCUACCAUCUAUAUUUAAUGUGUGCAUAUAUAUAUUAUGUAUAAUGUAUACAUAAUAUUCAAUAUCACAGAUAAAACUAUGCUAAUUAUACUUCUUUCUGAAGAGACAGCUCCUGUGCCACAGUUUUGUGUGAAGAUUUAUUAUUUAUUUAUGUGUAUGUGUGUACCUGUGUGUAGGUUUGUACGUGUAGGUACAGCACCCUUGGAGUGUAGAGGGUAUCAGAUCCUCUGGAGCUGGAGUUAUAAGGAGUUGUGAGUCUUGGGGCAUGGGUUCUGGGAACUGAACUCUAGUCCUUUGUAAGAGCAGGAAGGACUCUUUUUUUCUUUGCUUUUUUUUUUUUUUUUUUUUUAAAGAUAGGGUUUCUCUGUGUAGUUUUGGUGCCUUUCCUAGAUCUCACUCUGUAGACCAGGCUGGCCUCGAACUCACAGAGAUCUGCCUGGCUUUGCCUCCCGAGUGCUGGGAUUAAAGGUGUGCACCAUCACUACCCCCAGGCAUUUAUUUUAUUGUGUAUUGUAAAUAUAUAGAAACCUGUGACACAAGAGUUUUUAAAGGAUAAAAAUUCAAAAUCAGCUUUGAAUUUUUAAAACUAUUUUUCCUCCAGAGUUUAACAUUCCUUUUUAAGCAUUUUUAAAUUUUGCAUGUAUCUGUUUUCUAAGAAGGGAGAGAAGAAGUCAUGGAAUUGAAUGGGUGGGGAUGUGGGAGAUGAGAGAGGGGAAGUCAUGAUCAGAAUAUACUGUACAUUUUUUUAUUUAAAAAAUACAAAAUAGGGGUUGGGGUUUAGCUCAGUGGUAGAGUGCUUGCCUAGCAAGCACAAGGCCUUGGGUUCGGUCCCCAGCUCUGGAAAAAAAAUACAAAAUGGGGCUGGAGAGAUGGCUCAGAGUUUAAGAGCACUGACUGUCCUUCCAGAGGUCCUGAGUUCAAUUCCCAGCAACCACAUGGUGGUUCACAACCAUUUAUAAUGAGAUCUGGCGCCCUCUUCUGGCAUAUAGGCAUACCAGAACAUUGUAUACAUAAUAAAUAAAUAAAUCUUCAAAAAAUAAAUAAAAAAUACAAAACAAUUGAAGAAAAGCAAAUUGAGUGUGACUAGAUUGUUCUGACAAUCAGAUGCACAUUCACUGGCAUCCUAUUUUUAUUUUUAAAGCGACAAUGUCCUGGUCGCUCAGGAGGUGACACAUCUUCCCCCUGCUCAGGUGUCCCUGCUUCCACAGUUUCUCUUGCACUUCCUUUGCUGUGUAAAAUUGGCGUGGUUGGGGUGGGGGAUCCGGAGGAGUAGGCUUUCUGCUUCCUGCACGUGGAUCGGGGGCUCAAACUCAAACUGUCGGCUUGGCGGCAAAUGCCGCCACCCGCUGAGCCACCUUGCCGGCCCUUCCUUUUUUAAAACCUUAUUCUUCUUUAUACAUUCUGCAUAUUAGGUGGAAGUUUUAAAUAUGUAUGCAAUCAAAUCCCUACGGGAUCUAUGCAAUCAGCUUUUUCCCUUUCGAGUUUGUGUUUUUGGAAUCUUAAGAAUUCUUUCCUCAUCUCAAGGUCAUUAAAGUAUUUCGGUGUCUUUUUUUUUUUUCUUCUUCUCUAAAACCUUGUUUUUGUUUGAGUCCCAAGUUGGCCUAGAAACCCGGCUGUCCUUGCCUUCAUCCCCUGAAUGCUGGGUUACGGUGUAGUUAUAGACGGAUGUGAGCAAACCUUCUAAGCACUCUGGUGUCUGCAUUGUAUUCUUGACUUGUUCCUGGGAAUGUGUGUGGAAUGGUCCGGGAAGCCCGUAUGUCAUUUUUCCUGUGGUGGAAGCCCGUAUGACAUUUUUCCUGUCAUGGUUUAAGCUCUGGACAUUUUGAUGGCGCCUUUGCUCCUUUCUCUGGUGUUUUUGGACCCCAUGGAACCAGGUGACUUCAGUUACUUCAGCUUUAUCAUAAGCUGUAUUCGGCUUAUUCUUUAUUUCUUUGACAAUCUCAGUGUAGUCCAAGCUAGCUCAGAACUCACCAGGCUAGCCUCAAACUCAGUAAUCUUCAGUCUCAACUUGUUGGUGCUGAGAUUUCAGCUGGGAACAACCAGAAUGGAGCUAUUCUUGACUGUUUCAUAUGGAUUUUAAAGUCCACAAAAAGCAUGGGGGUUUGGUUGCAUUAACUGCAAAGAUGACUCUGGGAGGAACUGACAUGGCUAACACAGCAAUCCUGACUGUUUUAUAUGCUAGAUGCUCCAUCUAUUCAUGCCCUUGUAUGUAUUUGUUUGCUUGGAUUUUAAAAUCAAUCAAUCAAUCUCUCUAUUUCUCUCUCUCUCUCUCUCAUAUGUGUAAUAUGUAUUGUAUGUAUAUGUUCAUGUGGGAAUGUGCAUGCUAGCAUGCUGGCUCGAGUGCAUGCCGCUGCCCAGAGGUUGAUGUUGUGGGUCACCUUCAAUCUCUCCCCACCUUGUUCGUUGAGGGUUUUUCAUCUAUUUGGCCAUGCUGACUGACCAGGGAUGAGGAUCCACCUGUCUCCACCUCCUAGAACAGUAAGAGAUGGACAUCACCUUGCCUGGCUUUGUAUGUGGGUGUAGGAGCCCCAAAGUCUGGUUCUCAUGAGUGCAAGUCAAGCCCUUUAGUGACUGACUCAUCUCCCUAACCCCCUUGUUUGCUUGUUUUUAAUGGAAAGUUUAGACUUUUCUCCAUAAAAUCCUGUGUGUCUUUUGUUCUAUUUAUGGCUUGCAAUAUUGGUUGUUCUUGGUUCCUAGACUUUAACUGAUUUUAGUAUCUGUUAUAACUCAAUCUUGAAUGCCACCCUCCCGGGAGCCAUGUGUUAAAGCUUUGGCUCUCAGCCAGUGGCGCUAUUGGGAAUGGUAGACUCCUUCAGAGGGGUAUUAGCUGGAGGGAAUGGGGUCAUUGGAGGUGUGCCAUUGAAGGAGAUGUUGAGACCCAGGCCCCUUCCUCUUUCCUUCUGCUUCCCAGCUGGCCUUCUGUGAACAGGCUUCUCAUGCCGUGCAUUUCAAGCAAGAUGAACCACGCUGUCACAGGCCUGAAACAACCAUGGGGUCACCAUGGGCUAGAAUCCCAGAAAUUGUGAACCACCCCAUCCCUGAUUCCCCCCGCACACCCACCAUGGACUAGGCUUCCAGGAUUUACCUGUGUCCCGUUUUAAUAGCCAGGUAAAUGCUAUAAGCAGAAAAAAGUGCUGUCCUUUCCCAUCUGUCCAGUUUGGGUAAAAAAAAUUGAGACUAACAAUUUAAUGACUAUAACCAGGUAAGUGGUUUCACCAUAGAAGAAGGCUAUCCUGUGUUUGUUCAACUGGUGCUGGGAAUUGAACUCAUGGCUCCAGCAAGAAGCCAUGGUCUCCUGUUGCCAUCCCCAGGCUCCCUUACAUCCCUAAGUCAUAAUGCUUAGACUGUAGCUAAGAAUUUCAAAUUUCUUCUCUCUGUUGUUUGUUUCCUUCUGGUUUCCAUGUUAUCUAAUCUAUAUUAUCUUUAGCUCAAAGUCUGUGGUCUUUGGCUAUUCAUUCUCAGUUAGCGGCGAUGGGUGGGUAUACGUUAGGGUCUCUGCAUAGUCAACACUUCUUUCCGUUUGCAUGUUGGGAUGGGGUGAGUAGGGCGUGGGAAGGAAAGAAAGCAGGAGGGAAGGGGCUCAGGUCUCACUGCUUAAAUGCAGAAUUCCAUCCAGCCCUGCUGGAGAUGUUUUCAUCCUUCUUGUUGCCAUAUCUGGUACUCUGGGAUUGGGUUCUUCUCCAUAGCAACAGAUGCUCACAGUGAACCCUCUCUGGUACCUCUGAGGGCAGGGAAGGGGAUGGUGUUCAUGGUGUUCUAGGCAGAGAUUCAGCUCUCCCGUUUCCAGUGCCUCGACUCACACUGCCACGUUUAAGGUCACACUCCUUGGACACUGACAAUCCUAGCACUAAGGCUAAGACAGGAGGGUCCUGUGUUUGAGGACCACCUCUGCUACAAAGAAAGACCCUGUCUCAAAAACAAACAAAUGAACAAACAAACAAACAAACAAAAGAAUUAUACUCAAUUCUUGGAUUUGUAGAGAGUUCUAUUUUCCUAAAUGUUAUGAGUUUUUGUUUUAUAUUGUUUUUUUCAAGACAGGGUUUCUCUGUACAGCCCUGGCUGUCCUGGAACUCGCUCUGUAGACCAGGGUGGCCUCUAACUCACAGAGAUCCGCCUGCCUCUGCCUCCUAAGUGCUGAGAUUAAAGGCAUGUACCACCACCACCAGGCUAUGAAGUGUUUGUUUUUCUUUUUUGGUUUUUGUUUUGAAUAAAAUUGUUAUAGAGUAUUGAAAAUUAGUAUUUGUGUGUAUAUGAUUUUCUAUAGACUUCUAUUUUUCUAAGUAGUAUAAUAUUCUUUAAAAUGUUAUUUUAAAGAUGUUGUUAUAAACUCUUACUAAAAGUUUAAAAAUACCAUACUAUCUUCCAAAACUACAGAGUCUCUUUGCCUUUAUAUUUUGGGGAAGGGAAUGGAUCUGGAAUUUGGUUUAAAAUUCUUCAUUAAUGAAUUAUCAUUGGGUUUACUGCUGUAUUUGUACAAGGGCUCUAACAUUUCCCCCAGUUGGCUCCCCCGGCCACUUUAGGAAUACGCUUUGGAUAAUUUAUCUUUCUUUGCUUUGAUGGCUUGAAAUGGUGACUUUUAUGUUAAAGUCCCAUUUGGACUAAGGUCCUUUCUGGGACUUUUUUUCCUCUUUGUUGUUUCUUUUUACAUCCUCCUCCGUUUCUCACAUCAUCUCGCUCGUCACUGCAGUUUAAUAUGAGGUGUGACUCUCGGCUUCACCAGUGGCAGGUUAACAACAGCUCUGCUCUUCGUGCAGCGGUCUGCAGAGCAUCCCUGUGCACACUCCCUUCAGAAGCCUUGCAGCAAUGAUCUGUUCUCUUCCUCCCUCUCUCUACAUCUGGUCCAUCUCACGCUGCAUGUUCACCUGCAGAAGGCAGAGGCCACCGAACCCAUACGGGGUUAAACAGACUUUGUUAUAAAGGAGACAAAUAACAAAACCACAAGUCUUUAAAUUCGACAAAAGAAACUCACAAACCAACCUGAAACAAGCAGGGCACACAUGGUCACUUUUUAAAAGAAGCUAAAAAUAAGAAAUUAUUUAAAAAUGAUAGGACUGCAAUUACUGGUACCAGUAUAAACACACCAAAAUAUAUUAAAAGGAAGAAUGUUUGGAUUAUAAGCAAGUAACAUUCAUUCAUUCAUUCAUUCAUUCAUUCAUUGAGAUCAGUCUCACUGUAUAGCUGAGGCUAGCCUAGAACUUCCUAUGUAGAACAGGCUGGCCUUGAAGUCACAGCAAUCCUCUUACCUCUGCCUCUGAAGUACUGGGACUGAUCAUGUCCACACAUUAUAUUUACAUUAUAUACUUCAUACACAGAGCACAGCAAAUUAAAAAUACUCAGUAAGACUUUCUAAGAAAAUACAAGGAAAAGAAAAAGUCGUUCAGGGCUGGAGGUCUAGCUCAGCUUGCCUAGGGUGGGCAAGGCCCUAGGUUCAACAUCCGGCACCAUGAAACAAAACAGGAGUGAGAUUGAAUAGUGUAAGCAGACAUGGAGGCUGGAAUAUGGAGGUAAGUGUGGGCAACACUAAGCAAUGAAUAGAGGCUUAAAUAUCAGGCAGGUGAGGAGGUGUGUAUGACAGAGAAAAUGCUAAGCUCAAGGGCUUUGACUGUCCACAGGUAAUAUGAGACAGGUGGGGCCAGUAUCUGCUGUGCCUGUCAACAGUCACCUCAAGUAGGAGUUAGAAAAGAAGGAAAAGAUGGAUCUGGGAUGUAGCUCAGCUGGUAGAGUGCUCACCUAGCACACACCAUCUCAAGCAUGCCAUGAAGUGGGCAUGUGGCUCACUUGGCACACACCGUCUCUACAUGACAUGAAGUGGGCGUGGGCAUGUUGCUCAUCCAACACAUACCAUCUCAAACAUACCAUGAAGUGAGCAUGUUGCUCACUUAGCACCCACCAUCUCUAGCAUGCCACAAAGUAAGCAUGUUGGUGCACAUCUGUAAUCCCAGCACUUGGGUGGUAGAGGUAGGAGGGUCAGAAAUUCAAGGUCCUUCUAGGCUGAAUGCUAAGUUCUAGACCAGUUCGGGCUCCAUGAGAUCCUGCUGGGAAAAACAAACAAACAAACAAACAAACAAACAAACAAACAAACCAGGCUUGAUGCACAAAUGAACUCACAGAGAUUGUGGCAGCAUGCACAGGGUCUGCACAGGCCCCAGGGUUGAGAGGGUCAGUGAACACAAGCCUCCAUGCCUAACCAAGAAUCUACUUCCAAUUGCCACUGCUUGCAAGGGAAAACUCCGUUUUCUUCAGUGGAGUCUCACUGGGUAUAUAAACCACACUUAAGGGCAGGCCCCAUGUCUAGCAGUAGAUGGCAGCACAGAACAAGCUCAAUGGGAUAUUUGGAGAUUUUUUUCUUUUUUUCAUAUUGCUUUGUUUGCUCAUUAAAAAAAAAAACUUACUGGCCUUUUGCUUGUAUAUUGUAUUUUCUAAUUUUGCAUUUUUAUGUUUUUUUGGUGUUUCUCAUGAUUUUUCUUUGUUUCUUCAUUUUCCCCCCAACCCCCACCACCUUGCUUUCUAAAGAGAAAGAGAAAGAAAGCAUGGAAUUGGAUGGGUGGGGAGGAUCUGGGAGGGUAGACCAUGAUCAGAAUAUAUUGUAUGAAAAAAUAAUUUUCAAUUAAAAAAUUUAAAUUAAAAAAAUCCAAAAAGCAAACAAGACAAAUAAAUGAACAAAAGAAAGAGUUAUGUCUUCUGGUAAAAAAUAAUGGCAGCUGGUAUAGAACAGAGAGGAAGAUCAGUGUAACUGAGGGUGAAAGGUCCAAUGCACCAUGAGGAGAAAUGUCUGCUGGGAUGAAAGAAACGAAGGGGAGAACUUGAAAGAAGUGGAGGCUGAGGAGACUCAGAAGAGGCCAAACACAAAUCUGGAUGCACACGUCCUCUACAGGAAACGACUGCCAUGGAAUGCCAGAAACGGAUGGACACAUUUGUGCUUUCCUACAGUGUUGGAACAGCUAUAGGUUUAUUGCUAGCAACUUGUUAAAGAAUCCCACCUUCUUUAGCAACCUAGUCAAGGCAAUGUGGGUCCUUUUAGUUCAGACUUAAUCACUAAUAUCAACUCUCAUAUUGCACAGCACACAGUAAGUGUAUCUAUAAAUAUAUAUGCAUAUAUAUAUAUAUAUAUUUCAGAAUAAAUACAAGGUAAAGAGGGUACAACAGAGUUCACGAGCUUCUAGAAAUGGGUUGGGAGAAAUGCAAAUAGAGCCUGUAUAGAUAAUAAGGGAACCCAGAGCAGCCCCAAGGAAGCUUUCACUGUAGAGGUCAGGCAGUCAGAAAGUGAGCUUUGAGAUCCAAGGUGUCAGCUACUGAGGCCAGAGGGCAGAACAGGGUUGGACCAGGAGAUGAUGGGCUCAAGUCUGAAGAGGUGAGGAGGUAGGUCAGUGGUGGGGCAGGCUGCAUCAGUGACAGGAGAGGAGCUGAGAUGAAGCCCCAGGAACAGUCGGGCAUUCUCUGCCUGCCAGUCCUUGACUUGCACACCAGCUAUCGGACAGGUUGGUGAGACUAUUGCCAUCACAGUGCUAGGUCCAUUAAUUCAUGGGGUUUGGGUAAGGGAGCUGGACCCUUUCCCUGGCCUGGCACAUUUUCUAAGUUCUUGGUCCUGGUUUUCCUGAUGCAGUUUUAAUACAUCCAUGUGACUUCACAGUCUCAAUCCACCCUGGUAAAUCACAGGGAAGCUCCCUCUCUACUCCCGGGAAUAAGUCUUUGAGACUGUGGUGUGUGAGUGGUACUGGAUAGAUGAUGUUCACUUGUCCACUUGGCUGUACAGUCACCCUCCACCCUCCAGACAGAGUUAAGGGAUGUUUGGAAAAUGGAGUCUCUCAGGGCAAGACACACCGAGAACACACAGUUUGACACAAUAUGGGAUGACUGAGACCAUGGCGCAGCCUGUUCUCAACACAGCCUUUCCUUUCCUCCUUUGGAGACUGAGCUCUGAGCACUGCGCGCCCCCAAGCUUCUCAAUCUGUGGUUGGGCUCAUCCAUGCAUGCAGAAGCCACGGCUGGAGGAAACCACAUCUGUAUGUUUGAGUAUGACACAGGAGGUGACCUGUAGAUGCAGUAGGACUUCAGAUCAGUAUAUAUACCUGACUUUGAGUUCCAUCCUUCCCUUGUUAACAGUUUGACCUUUGCAAGGCAGAUCUACCUGUUCUGGCCAUCCAAAGAUGAAGAGCAAGAAACCUGACCGUACUGUGAUAUCCGCUGGGGUGAUGCUAUGAGAAAUAUGCCUCAUUUGAGGGCAGAGUCCUAUGCAAGCACUUGUCUUAGUUUAGGUCAUAGCCUAAGUGACUGAGUGACGAUAAGCAAAGUGCUAUGACAUUUGUAUGGGCAGGAAAGCACUAGAAAUUCCAUGUCAUAGCACACUCUCCUGCCAUUGCCUUGAUCUAUCUCCCCACACUGUCAAGGGAGAGGCAGGAUAUCUGUUCCAUUGCUGCCGAACACCAUGACAUCUCUCUCUUUUUACCCCGUGCUUGGUAUUUCUUUACAUUUUUUGUUACACUUAUUUAUUUAGUCUGCAGACCCUGCAUUCUCCCUAUGCACCAGGCAGAUAUGAACCAAGGAUGAACGGAACCGGGGGGAGGUGGAAUAGCAGGGCUGCUCCUACUGCUUCUCUUCUUCAUUUCCAGGGUCCUCCCCUUAUGUGGGUGGGUGUUUAUUCUUCUUAUCUCUCUCCAGUUUCCUCUUAGGGAGUCUGGUCACACAAGGGCCAUGCAAACAAAGCAACCUAGCCCUGUAGGAAAUGGUUCGUCGAUUGGGAUUAUGAUUAAGCUGUAGACUCUGGUCAAGGAAACAGCUUCUCAGACACAAACUGGUCACAAUUCCUGUGGCAUGGUGGCAUGCUAUUUAACAUCAAGUGACAAUGAGUAACUGAACACUCUUAGGGGCUGGGCGAAAAUUAUGGGAUAUUCACGGUUUGGAGCAAGCUCCUGUUCCAGGCUCCAAGAGUCCAAAGUCAGAACGGAGAUGAAAAGGCCCCAAACCACAUGACACCUUUAAGGAAGCAGAUAAACCCAGCCAGACCAGCUCUCCCGAACACCGAGUCCAGGCUGAGUCCCGAGUCCAGGCUGAGUCAGCUGGACAAGGAAGCUGGCCUUUCCUUCAGUCUUUACAGAAGAGUAAUGUGAGGUGGGGGUGGAUUACGGUGGUAAAGCUCUUGCCUAGCAUGGAUGAGGAGGUCAUGGGUUCGCUCCCCAGAGCUGUAAAGACCAGUCUUAAUUUUUACUGUCUGUGUACUGUUAUGCAACAAAACCUUGUUUUACUCCUGCCCAGUGGGAGCCCUUGUCUGACUUUGUAGAGUUGAGGCCGUUUCAAUUUCAUGGAUCUCCAACAAAGGUCAAUUAGAUUUGUAACUAAUUCUGCAGUGUUUUCCUUGGACAAAUGUAUGACCUGUGUUUUAUUUUCAUGACCACUCGGUGAGAUAGUCCUACUACUCCUGUGUUAUAAAGGUUCAGGAAGGUUAAUGACCUGACCAAGUGCUCUAGCACCAUUAUUAUUAUAUAUAAUUAACACAAUCCCCUUUGCAAUUACAAAUGGGGUGGCUUAAUUUACAACAGGCAUCUGUUCUCUGACGUUUACUGCAGCAGUGGUCAGACAUGAAAUCAGCUGCAGUGUCUGUCAACAGAUGAACAAAGAAAACGUGGUGCCUGUAAACACUCAGUGGAACCUGUCAUUUGCUAUAACAUAGAUGGAACUUGACAACAUGUUAAGUGAAAUAAGCCACCUUGCAGUUUCAGUCAUAGAUGGGUCAUUCAGAAGCUGACCCAUGGUCACUGGACGUUGGGGACAAUAAGGGGGUGGAGGGAUGGGUGCUCAGUUAUAGCUGUACAGAGGUCAAGAAACAUCUGGCUUGGGCAUCUCUUCAUUAUAUAAUGAUAAUGCCUAAGCAGCAGCCACUGAUUUUCUCUGUUCUCUGAUGAGGUCCUGGUAGGUAAACUCCUGCGUGUUUUGGCCUCUUCUGCCCUGAUGAUCAGGGAUGAGAAUGCAAUCUCCAAUUGCACUUUACAAGUCAGGGAAAUACACAACUUUUCUUUUAGAGUAUAGCCUAGGCUGGUCCCAACCUUGUCAUCUUUUUGCUUCACCCUCAAUUCCAGUGUGGACCCACAGCAGCUGGGAGUGGCACACAUGGCUGUGUGCACCCAAGCCGGGGAGUGAAUCCAGGGCCAGGGGCUCUGAAACUGGACCAUACUCCAGCCUUCCUGAUCCUUUCAGAGGACUGGAUGAGGUCUGUGGUGCUUUGCUGAUGGCAAUCUGCUUUAUUUCAUCUAGUGCUUUAAUUUCAUCUUACUCUAAAACACUCACACAAACACCUACAACACCAAUUAUUGACUGGCCAAUUAUCUGAGUAUCCCAUGUCCUACCCAGUUGACACGUAAAACUAACCAUUGCAGAGAAUAACCUCAAGAACUCAACGAAGUGCGAGUGAGAAGGGGCUUGAAUCUCAGUCGGAUUUAGAAACCUGCAAUCUCUAUACACAUCCAUGCCACCUCAAGGAGGUGAUAUGUGGCUAGCAGGCUUCGCAGACCAACACCAGCAAUGUCAAGCUUGGUCAGAGCAGUUUCUUUUUGGCUCACAGAUAAUGAAAUAUGUAUUUAUCCUUCCCCCUGUCUAACCCUGAGCUGACCACUUUGCUCAGAUGGCCAGGGACACAGAGGUAACGGUGCACACAGGGCAGAUGGGAGAAAACAAUGGGAGGUGGAGAUACUCCUUUACAUGUCCAAGAGGAUGAAAGAGGAAAGCCAAAUAGACUAGGAACUCUGGCCUCCAAAGGGACAAAGUCCAGUCUGGUGUAGAAGGGCUGCUGCAUCAAAGGGUUCCUGCCUAACAAUGAGGAUCCCACACAGUAUGUCCCAGCCCCAGAGCCUGGCACCCCAAUUGUGGCAGCAGCUGCCAUUGUCAUAUCUCUUGAAAUAGCCGUGGAAGCUGUGACUAGUGUUAAGUGAGGCCAGGGGAAUGGGAGACAAGCAAGCUGUCAAGGCUGGCCAUCACCUUGCGACGUGGAUGGUUGUUGGAGCAGCACUGUAGACAGUGGUCAGCUCAGUUACUAAGAGGCUCUCCUGACUACAGAGUGGGUAGGGGAUUGCCUGGAGAGAUGGCUCAGCCGUUAUGAGCACUUGGUACUCUUGCAGAGGUCCUGGAUCCCAUAAUCCACAUCAGACAGCCCAUAACUGCCAAUUCCAACUCCAGGGGGAUCUGACACCUUCUUCUGACUUCUCUGGGCACCUGUGCUCAUGUGGUGCACACAUAGACAAGUAGGCAAAUACAUACACAUGUAAAUAAGAAAUGUCUAAAAAUUCAUUAUGCAUAUGCAUUUAUGUUUCUACGUGUGUGUAAGUGUCCUUGGAGACUAGAAGUGUUAGAUCCCUGGAGCUGGAACUACAGGUGGUCAUGAGUCACCCAGUGUGGCCACUGGGAACCAAACCUGGGUCCUCUGUAAGAACGCUAACUACAUACUCUUAACCUCUAAGCCAUCUCUUUAGGCCCCAAAUCAUUUUAAAAGGAGGGGUGAGGACCAACGAAGCAGGUGACCUUAUCAUGGGGUGAUGGGCUGUGUCAAGAAAGCUGCUACCCAACAGGGCACCACCCCCUCUCUCUGCUGCACCCUGAGCAUGCCAAGUCCGAACAGACUGGACAGAGGUGUGUGGCUUUUACUUCUGCAGUGCUGGGGUCACGCCACACCAGGUGAGCACUCUACCACCUAGCUGUACCCUCAACUGGGUCAAACUUGGCUUACUGGUUGGUUUUUUAUGCCAGCUAAGUCACAGCUUUACUGCUGAUUGGAUACAUCACAGCCAAACCUGUUAGGGCAGGUUAUUCAGAAUGGUGCCCUGGUUGGGAAAGAAAAUACAAAACAAAACAAAAAACAACAAAAAAACCACAACCCAAGUUUAGCAUAUUAGAUGUAGCAUACCAGAAUAGAGAAAACAAACAAUAAAAUAAACAAACCAAAAUGGACUUUCAGGUUUGGAGAGGAGAAAAUAGGAAUGUUAGCUUCUGGACAAUUAUCUUUGUAGCCUUUAAAGUUGCAUUCCAUUGCGGGUGUUAACUUGAAACAUUCACUGAAUGCUGCUCUAGUCAUUAACUUUAGUGACCAAAAUUUUAAAACUUUUCCCUCAGGGAUUAAGAACACUACUGGUGCUGGGUGGUGGUGGUGCAUGCCUUUAAUCCCAGCACUCAGGAGGCAGAGGCAGGCGGAUCUCUGUGAGUUCGAGGCCAGCCGGGUCUACAGACGGAGAUCCAGGACAGGCACCAAAUUACACAGAGAAACCCUGUCUCAAAAAAAAAAAAAAAGAACACUACUGGCGAUUUCCCAAACCAGAUGUCCAAACCAUGGGGAAGUCGCAAAUGUCAGCUGCUGAAAGUGACCCUCACUUUAGGGGUACACAAGGUCAGGGGCUUCAGUACAGACACACACACACACAAAAUGUAAUUUAGGGUUCUGUGUUGUCAGUACCAGACGCUGUGCACUAGGUGGCACUCCGAGCCCAGACUGAAGCCAAAAGACUGCGUGACAUCAUCUAGGGUUUGCAGGGUUCCGAGGGAGGUUGCUUUAAGUUGGAAGAGUGAAAAAUGGACAGACCAUGGGGCUAGUGUGUUGGAAAGACAACAGUUGAGGAAUUUAAAGUCACAAUGUUGAGUUGAACACAUGGCUGAACUGCGUCAAUAAAUAUCAAACAAGGAUUCUGGAGACACAGUGCUGAGGCAGGAGGAUUGGGAGUUCAAGGCCAGGGCUACAUGGGGAGAUCCUGACUCAAACAACAAACAUAAAAGAAAACAAAACCCAAACAAACACGAGAGAGAAGGAUUGCCCUGCAGGGACGGAUGACGUAAGAGAUUGGAUUUUAAAGGAACUGUCAGACUUUCUGAGUUUAGUGGAUCCUGGAACCUGGAGCACACCUUCCAUGCACUUAGAUGAGCCUAGCCCGAGAGAGAGAACUCGGGCUUGUGAUGGGAACAGUAGAAGAUAACAACUUAUCCCCAUAGGUAAGCAGGCAAUGCUGAAAAUUAUUUUCAAUGAAAAAUACCCCCCCCCCCCCAAUCAUGCACACACACAGGAAUAAUGAAUGAUAAACUGGUAAAUCUAUAUAACUCUGUUUACUCACUUGAGGCCUUGUGAAGAAUCAACUUCUGGCUGUCCUUAGGAGACAGGUUGGAAACACAAGGAAAAGUCUGUCACCAGAGACCUGUACAGGUGCUAUCAUCAGUGAGGACUAUCUUUAGAACACAAGGCUGGCCCGGCAUUCUCCCAGCACGUUUGAUGUGAAAUGGCUUUCUUGUUGUUCAGGGUUGUGGUGGAUAAUUAUGAUCACCAACUGGACAGGACUGAGAACCGUCUAAGAGACACACCAGGAUCUGUCUGUGACCCGGCUAACAGAGAUGGGAAGAUCUACCACCCAUAGGGCGGCACCAUCUCAUGGCCUGGGGUCCUUGAAGAAUAAAGAGUGAGCUGAGCACCAAUAUUCAUCUGCUUCCUGACUGUGGAUGCCAUGUGACCAGCUGCCUCAGUGGAAUGUACCCCCAAACUGUUAGGUAUUUUUGUCAGAGCAAGGAGAAAAGUAACUAAUUCCAGAUACAUAAGAAAGAGGUUAACAGUGUCCUACUGACUGAUGGAAAAAUCUUAUUCAUCUCUGUUCUCUACAGUAACCUUGGCGAUUUGCAGCUACUAUGUUAAUGUGUGCAAUCCCUCUGUGGAACUUUGAGAAACUGUGGUGCUCGUGACUGAACCCUGGGCCUUGCAGUGGGAGGCAGGGACUUUAGUCACUGAGCGACUCCCGGUCCAGACUUCUUAAGCCUGUAAUAAACCUGGACUUUGCUCAGGAAAGGCAGAAACUCAUCUUUUGGGAAACUAAAGUCACGCAGCAUUGCCCUUGCUUUGGACCCAUGGUGGUAAAGGGAGCAGCAAGUCUGAAGCAUUGAAGGCAAUGACGAACUUCCCAUGAACCUGCACCAUGCUGAGCUCACUAUCAAGAUCUGAAACUUAAGUCGAGCAUCACACUGCACUGACAUCAGCAAACACAUUCUAGAACUUUUGAUAGGACCUUGGCUUGGUGCAGCUCAGACUUGGUGAGUUUGUAGAGCAGUUAAAAAGGGACAAAUUUGUAUGGCUGCAAUCUUUAUAUUUUAACAAGAAAAGUACUUAGCUGGGCGGUGGAGGCACACACCUUUAAUCCCAGCACUCGGGAAGCAGAGACAGACAGAUUUCUGUGAGUUCGAGGCCAGCCUAGUCUACAAAGAGAGUUCCAGGACAGCCAGGGCUGAGAAACCCUGUCUCGAAAAACCAAAAAAGAGAAAGAAAGGAAAGUAUUUAAGGGAACUGAUACCGCUACCAACAUUUCAUUGAAGAAUACUUCAAUACUGUAGAUGUUGGAAUUGUCUUACAAUAAAAAGGAAAUUCAUGCUGAUAACUUUAUACUAUUAUUUUUCCUUCCUGGAUAGCUAAACAUUUGACCUAGGUCAAAGUUUGGGGACCCACGUCUCAUAAGUCACUUAGCACAAUCAUGUCUAUUUAAAAAGCUGAAAAGUGAAGUGGCCCUGCCUAUCAGGGACAGGUCUACCGUGGUGGCUCAGGCCUGCGACUCUGGCAUGAGACUGGCUGAGGCAGUUCUGUGUUCAAAGCCAGCCUGCACUACACAGUAAGACUCUAUCUCUUAAUAAAUCAAUCGUGUCAACUAGCAGAAUACACUCUCAAAGACUGCCUACACCACUUAUGCUACCAACUGGGGACCUCAGUUAAUGUUUAUCUUAAAGCCAAGUGUCACCAUAAUGGAUGCAAAAAUAAAAAAAACCGUCCAACUGUCUGGAAGCAGCUAUCAUUUAUCAAAUAACCCUUAUCGUACAGUGCUAUAACUAAACGCUUAUCUUGUCAGUUACAUCACAAACUGUGAUAGCCAAUUAUGGGAUGCACACAUCCAUCAGACAGAUGUCACCGCAUCUCUAAACAUGGUCCCUCACGCAGGAAACUCUAAGAGAACUCAAGACCUUUCUGCAGAAAGUGAGUCCAGGCUGACUGUCUUCUAGCUGUUUCCCCUUCCUGGGGAAGACAGCCACACAUUUUAUGUUGGUCUAAAAUCUGCAAACAAACCCUGGAAAGACCAGUUAGUCCAAUUUCCUUGAUUUAAAAGGCCGAGAAACAGGCUGGGGACAUAGUUUAGUGGGUAAAGUGCCUGCCAUGGUUUGCAUGAAGAUUGGAGUCUGGCUCCCCAAACCCCCAAAGUUAGGUGCAUUGGAAUCUAGUGCUGGGGGUUGGGGGAGGACAGGAGGAUCCCUGGGGCUCCUUGGUGAGCCAAUGUAGCCAAACUGAUGAGACCCAACAGUGACCUCUGGCCUCCACCUGUGACCACAUACCCCAUACGAACACACACAACAUUCAUACACUUGGGCCGAGGAGCCGAGUGGCUUUGCUGAGGUAAGUGGUCUAGAGAAGACAGCUCACCAGGGCUCAGUCAAUGAGGGUGGCACGUGGAGCCUCGGGUGCUCGUUCGGGCAGAGCAGCAACUAUGCAUAGUAACACUUGUCUUCAAGCCUUGUACGUUUAAAAGAGGGGGUCCCUUUUAUCUUCAAAGGUUGUUCCUUUACUAGCUUGAGCCAUGCACUUGAUUACUCAGAGUGGGAAAUAAGAAUUUCCUAUGCUUUUGAUUGAAACUAGUUAUGCUCUGCAAGGCUGUGUGGCUUUGAGAUCAAUAUGCUUGAACAUGGGCAUCAAAUCCCAUCAAAGCCUUCAGUCCGAUGCCCUUCUGUUCUUGGGCUUAAGCUCCAUAAGACUACAUUUUAUUUUGUUUUGCUAUACGGAUAUGUGACGUACAUGUGUAUAAUCAAUCACAUUCACAUUGUGUGGUGCACGUGUGUGCUCAAAUGGAGGCCUGAGGUUGAUACCAGUGUCUUCUUUGAUAGAGCUCCUGUAUUUAUUGAGACAGGGUCUCUUGUUGAAAGCAGACCUCCUUGAUUCUGGCUAGUCUUGUUCUGGUAAUCCUUACCUCUGCCCCCCAAGCGUUGGGAUUACAGGCAAGCCACCAUGC
This is a long non-coding RNA of Peromyscus californicus insignis, 21151 nucleotides long. RefSeq lists it as uncharacterized. The record is from RefSeq and is a predicted model, not a curated record. The transcript is spliced from 3 exons. NCBI's taxonomy places the organism in Eukaryota, Metazoa, Chordata, Mammalia, Rodentia, Cricetidae.